ACGCGAAGAACCUUACCUGGUCUUGACAUCCAGGGAAUUAGGCAGAGAUGCCUUAGUGCCUUCGGGACCCGUGAGACAGGUGCUGCAUGGCUGUCGUCAGCUCGUGUUGUGAAAUGUUGGGUUAAGUCCCGCAACGAGCGCAACCCUUAUCCUUUGUUGCCAGCGGUCCGGCCGGGAACUCAAAGGAGACUGCCAGUGAUAAAAAGAGAGGAAGGUGGGGAUGACGUCAAGUCAUCAUGGCCCUUACGACCAGGGCUACACACGUGCUACAAUGGCAUAUACAAAGAGAAGCGACCUCGCGAGAGCAAGCGGACCUCAUAAAGUAUGUCCGGAUUGGAGUCUGCAACUCGACUCGCAUGAAGUCGGAAUCGCUAGUAA
This 378-nucleotide ribosomal RNA is filed under the name Citrobacter sp. CAR23. RNAcentral describes it as "bacterial SSU rRNA". It matches the Rfam family "Bacterial small subunit ribosomal RNA", at positions 959 to 1341 of the family's 1533-position model. Lineage: Bacteria; Pseudomonadati; Pseudomonadota; Gammaproteobacteria; Enterobacterales; Enterobacteriaceae. The record is from RNAcentral.